RNAcentral lists this ribosomal RNA (497 nucleotides) under uncultured bacterium. RNAcentral describes it as "partial 16S ribosomal RNA". It matches the Rfam family "Bacterial small subunit ribosomal RNA", at positions 28 to 507 of the family's 1533-position model. The record is from RNAcentral.
GAUGAACGCUGGCGGCGUGCCUAAUACAUGCAAGUCGAGCGGAAGGACGAUAAGAUUGCUUUUUUACUGUUAGCGGCUGGCGGGUGAGUAACACGUGGAUCACCUUCUUCUAUUACUGGGAUAACUACGGAAAACCGGAUAUAAUAACACCUCAUAUUUUGUACCGCUUGGUUCAAAAGAUCAUCACGGCUUUCCUGUCUCUUAUAGCUGGUUCCGCGCUGGAUUAGCUAGUUGGUAAGGUAACGGCUUACCAAGGCUACGAUGCGUAGCCGAGCUGAGAGGGUGAUCGGCCACACUGGAACUGAGACACGGUCCAGACUCCUACGGGAGGCAGCAGUAGGGAAUCUUCGGCAAUGGGCGAAAGCCUGACGGAGCAACGCCGCGUGAGUGAAGAAGGUCUUCGGAUCGUAAAGCUCUGUUAUUGGGGAAGAACAGAUGUGGAAGUAACCGUGGACAUCUUGACGGUACCUAAUCAGAAAGCAACGGCUAACUACGUG